This 502-nucleotide ribosomal RNA is filed under the name uncultured bacterium. Its description in RNAcentral is "partial 16S ribosomal RNA". It matches the Rfam family "Bacterial small subunit ribosomal RNA", at positions 28 to 507 of the family's 1533-position model. The record is from RNAcentral.
GAUUAACGCUGGCGGCGUGCCUAACACAUGCAAGUCGAGCGGCAGCGAGUUUUACACUGAAUUCUGGAAGCUUCUAGUUGAAAGAGAAGAUUUAUUCAAGAAUUUUGUGUAAAAUGUCGGCGAGCGGCGGACGGCUGAGUAACGCGUGGGAACGUACCCCAAAGUGAGGGAUAACGCAUCGAAAGGUGUGCUAAUACCGCAUAUGGUCUUCGGAUUAAAGCCUUCGGGCGCUUUGGGAACGGCCUGCGUAAGAUUAGAUAGUUGGUGGGGUAAUGGCCCACCAAGUCGACGAUCUUUAACUGGUUUGAGAGGAUGAUCAGUCAGACUGGAACUGAGACACGGUCCAGACUCCUACGGGAGGCAGCAGUGAGGAAUCUUCCACAAUGGGCGAAAGCCUGAUGGAGCAACGCCGCGUGCAGGAUGAAGGCCUUCGGGUUGUAAACUGCUUUUAUAAGUGAGGAUUAUGACAGUAACUUAUGAAUAAGGAUCGGCUAACUACGUG